UAGACGUAAUUGGGCUCUUAAUUCAAAUGUAUGAGAAAAGGGUUUCAAAUGCAAAUGGUUCAUUCUCGCUCCUUUCCCCAUUAUUUCUUUUCUCUGUUUCGUGGCUCUGUAUUUCCCUUUUUCUUUCUUCUCUACCAGAAUCUAGAUGAAAAACUUGAUGAACAACCAUCUAUACUUCCUAAAAGUUACGAGGUUUCCAUUGAAAGAUUUAGAGGUCACGAAACGGACUUUAUUCAUCCAAGAAUAAUACAAUGGUAUAGUGUUAUCGAAAAAGUUGGUACGUGGUAUAUACUCACAUUUUGGAAGGGUUUACAAAUCACAAGCUGCGAAAAUAAGUUUAGACAUUCGUUACUAAAGCAUUCGCAGUUGACAAGCUGAGAUUAUAAGGGGUCUCUAAGUAGCAAGGGAGCCUACAAUAAUUAAUUUGAUUGUUAGAGAGUUAAAGCCAUAUUUCCAGAUGUUGGUGCAAUCCUUCUGAAAUAUCGAUGAAAAAAAUGUUAUUUUUACAUUUGUAAGGUAACACUUCUAAGGCUUCAUGUUUUAUCCUGGUGAAAAAAAUAGUCGUGGGGUAUACCUUAAUGUAUAUGAUUGUGACUUUUGAAUUGCAUUACUUACCUAUUAAAGUAGUUGUUAGAUAUGUUGUUGUAGAUCCAACCAUUACAUCUUAGUUAUUUUGCUAUUAAUAGUAGAUUUAUCGUGUGUGUUUGUAUUAUUUACAAUUUUCUUUCAAAUCAUACAUACAAUGAUAGUGUAGACCCCUCAUCAUGUGGAAUCCAUGGCUGAUUAGUGAGGAUGUUGGAGUUGGAUUUAAUGUCUAAAAAUUAAGGCUCUUCUUUCUAAGCACUUCUACAAUUGUCUAUUUCACGAGACCAAUGCCAUUUAUAGCAAUCUUCAGGUGUUAUUCAGGGAAGGUGUACUAAUUUUCCUAUUUAAUAUUCUCAUGAAUAAUAAUUUUAUUAUCUUAUGAAUUACUGAUAUUUAAAUUUUCAUGUAAAACAAUAUAAAUUAAUGAAGACUAUAUUUUUGUCAUUGAUGCAUUUUAGGCAUUUGAUGAAUUCUACAUUCAGAGGCAGCAAAAGGUAAAUGUCAAGAAGGUGAAUGUAGAAAUUUGUUCCAACAGUUGAUUGAUCAGGUGAGCUACUGUCACACUAAAGGUGUGUUCCACAGGGAUCUCAAGGUUCUUUUUCUCCCUUUUCAAGUUCAAAUUGCACCACAUGGUUAUCUUUGGUCUUGCGUCUUUCACACAAAUGUUGUUAUGUCCUUGCAGCUUGAGAAUGUACUGGUGGAUCAUGAAAAAAAAAAAAACUUGAAAAUAAUUUAUUUUGGUCUUAGUGUUUUACCCCAACAUCUUAAGGUAAGAUGUUAUAUGCUUUCAACCACUUUAGAUAAAGCAUAUGAUUUUUCUUAUUGGCUUCACCAUGUGAAAAUUUCUAGGCAGAUGGAUUGUUGCAUACAACUUGUGGAAGUCAUAAUAAGGUCUAUGAUGCUUACCUUGUUGCAUACAACAUUAGAUGCAUGGUUAUGUUGUGUUUUAUUGUAUGCAAUCCUGGCUGGAUGUUUACCUUUUAUACAACAAAGAUAUGCUAAGUUUGUGAAGGUUUGUUCAUGUUUGAUAGUUUCUGAUUAAAGUUUUGUAAUGGGUUUGAUGGUUUGUGGUUAAAGGUUUUUUUUUUCACGAUUUAUGGUUAAAGGUUUGAGAUGGGUUUUCUUAACAAAUGCAUUUGAUUUCUCUAUGUAUCUCCCUGAAAGAAACAUUUUUUGUUUCUUUGGCAUGAUCUUGAUCAUUUGUUAAAUUUUCAUAAUUUGUUUAUUCUUAUACUAAUUUUAACGUGUAUGACGUAGAUCAGUGAUGGAUUUGUUGAAGACAAAGAUUUGAUUGUGUCUCUUAUAUCUGUUGUGGUAGAGGAGCAUGUGUACUUGAGGACAUUGGUCCCAAGUAAUAGUUUCAUGUCAGAUUAAGUUGAAGUUGUAAUUGAGAUUAUAUAGUAUUUGACACUAUAAACAUUCUGCAUGAGAAAAAUAAAAA
This is a long non-coding RNA of Vigna unguiculata (cowpea), 2026 nucleotides long. NCBI's taxonomy places the organism in Eukaryota, Viridiplantae, Streptophyta, Magnoliopsida, Fabales, Fabaceae. The record is from RefSeq and is a predicted model, not a curated record.